UACAGAGGGUGCAAGCGUUAAUCGGAAUUACUGGGCGUAAAGCGUGCGUAGGUGGUUCUUUAAGUCAGGUGUGAAAUCCCUGGGCUCAACCUGGGAACUGCAUUUGAUACUGAAGAGCUAGAGUGUGAUAGAGGAUAGUGGAAUUCCCGGUGUAGCGGUGAAAUGCGUAGAUAUCAGGAGGAACACCGAUGGCGAAGGCAGGUCUCUGGGCCACUACUGACGCUGAGAAGCGAAAGCAUGGGGAGCGAACAGG
RNAcentral lists this ribosomal RNA (253 nucleotides) under uncultured bacterium. RNAcentral describes it as "partial 16S ribosomal RNA". It matches the Rfam family "Bacterial small subunit ribosomal RNA", at positions 524 to 776 of the family's 1533-position model. The record is from RNAcentral.